UACAAUUCUUGAUCUCAUGGAAAUUCCUCAAAGAAGCAGAUAUAUGUCCCUCAGACCAAUUUAAUGAAAAUUGAGCAAGUGAUGAUGGCAGAUGAGACUGAAUUGAUGAGCAAGAUACGGGCAUGGUAUAUUUUGGUCAUGAUAUAAUUUCAUUAACAAGAUGUUUCUAUUUAUGGUAGAAAUUAAAACUAAAAAGUCAUUUUUUUACCUUACGUGAAACUAGGGCUACAUACUUAUAUAGGUGGGUAACUAAGACUCGUAACUGCAGUGGAUCAUAACUAACAAAGUUGGAUUAGAUUUGCAGCAUCUAUUCAGACGGCUAGUUAGUAGUUACCCCACUUUGUGGAACAGGCAAAACCUGUGUAGAAUUCUCUUGUUCUGGGGUGCUUGGCUUCAGUAUAGAUUGGUGGAAGUGAAAGUAGAUUAGAGGGAAUGCCAGGCCCUGGUCCUCACCUGAUGUAUGGCAUGGGUUCAGGCUUGGCUCUGAGCAGUAUCACCAACGGAAGGUUCAGUCCCCACCACACGCUCACCUACACAGUCAACGCCUUCUUUGGACCAGAUAUUGGUUCUUUCUCAGAGUGGCUUGGUUCGGUCCUUGGUGGCCCAGCUGAUACUUUAGGAUCUGCUGUUGCCGAUCUCAUUCAUCAUCCCUUCUAUUACAUCCUUAUUUUGGGACUUCCUUUGUGUUUUCUCUACUCUCGGAUAUCCUCCUAUCUUGUUCAAGCACACCUCCUUGAUUCUGUCUCCAGGGUGCCACUUUCAAGGAUGCAAUGCUUUUUCUUGAUUUCAGCUGGCUCUUUCACCCACUUCUUUCUAGAUCAUCUGUUUGAGGAGAAUGGAAAAACUACCACGUACACUUGGAUUUUGAGCACUGGUUGGUGGCAAAGUAGAGCACCAGUUAACCCAGAUUCUGUUGUUGUAGUGGGCUUCUUAUGUGCUUGCUUAAUUGGCGGCUUUUUUUACCUCAACAGAGCAAGUGCCUCGAACUCCAUAAAGAAAAAGUCAUAUCAGUCAAUGCUGCUAAUGGUGUCCAUAGCUUCCUUGUACUGCUUUUGGUGUGCAAUCCAGAUAUACUGGAUUAAUCCACGUCGUCCAGCAGUUGGUGAAGAGGCUGACCUUGGUGUUCUCGUGUUUUUGGCUAUAUAUUUCUUUCUACCUUACGGUUUGUGUAUAAUGUCCAUGUACCCAAAAGAUCUUGAUACAAAUCAAAUUCCAUUUUAACAGUGUUUACUCUGCCAAAGAUGUGUUCUGCUUUUGCCGAUGCAAUUUAGUUGCAAGUGUAGCUAGAAUCUUGCCACUAGCAACUUAUAUCAUCACUCACCAACCAUAUGUGAAGUUAAGCAUCCAUUUGAUGUUGGAACUGGAUUCCUUUUUUUGUUUGGUCUAGACCACACAUAUACAUCAUGAAGACAAUUUAUUUGAGAUGAGAAUGCCUAUAGCAUGGUAGGACUAGCUCUUCUAGAGAUUUUUUUUUUUUUUUCCACACACAAAGUGUCCAUUGAUUUGGAACGGGAUUCUUUUGACCUUUCGGGUUAUUACAAGUUCUCAUUUAAAUAUACAACGUUGUCUAUAUAUUGUUGCAAAGUGAUUGAACGUUGAAGUUUGAUAUUUGAUUCUUGUCAUAAUGGACCCUGCAGUUGUUCGAAUCAAGCUUCUUCAUCCUUUUAGCAUAAUACUUGCUGCACAUAGGCAGACUCGCGUCUCUUCCCACUAGAGUUACUGGUGAGCAGAAGUUUUGGUGGGAGUUGAAAUGGUGGAAAAACUGCAGAUGCAGAUCUAAGUUAAAGUAUGUGCAAGUGUAUGUGAGUAGCAUGGUUCACCCUUUAUAUGUUU
This is an RNA transcript of Abrus precatorius (Indian licorice), 1833 nucleotides long. RefSeq lists it as uncharacterized. The transcript has 5 exons. The record is from RefSeq and is a predicted model, not a curated record. NCBI's taxonomy places the organism in Eukaryota, Viridiplantae, Streptophyta, Magnoliopsida, Fabales, Fabaceae.